UAGUUGAUGUCUAAGGACUUCCUACCUGU
Molecule: non-coding RNA, 29 nt
Filed under: Mus musculus (house mouse)
Lineage: Eukaryota; Metazoa; Chordata; Mammalia; Rodentia; Muridae
Source: RNAcentral